RNAcentral lists this ribosomal RNA (432 nucleotides) under uncultured bacterium. RNAcentral describes it as "partial 16S ribosomal RNA". It matches the Rfam family "Bacterial small subunit ribosomal RNA", at positions 29 to 507 of the family's 1533-position model. The record is from RNAcentral.
ACGAACGCUGGCGGCAGGCUUAACACAUGCAAGUCGAACGCACCUUUCGGGGUGAGUGGCAGACGGGUGGGUAACGCGUGGGAAUCUACCCUUCUCUACGGGAUAGCUCCGGGAAACUGGAAUUAAUACCGUAUACGUCCUGAGGGAGAAAGAUUUAUCGGGGAAGGAUGAGCCCGCGUUGGAUUAGCUAGUUGGUGGGGUAAAGGCCUACCAAGGCGACGAUCCAUAGCUGGUCUAAGAGGAUGAUCAGCCACAUUGGGACUGAGACACGGCCCAAACUCCUACGGGAGGCAGCAGUGGGGAAUAUUGGACAAUGGGCGCAAGCCUGAUCCAGCCAUGCCGCGUGAGUGAUGAAGGCCCUAGGGUUGUAAAGCUCUUUCAGUGGGGACGAUAAUGACGGUACCCACAGAAGAAGCCCCGGCUAACUUCGUG